GGUGGCUCAGUUGGUAGAGUGCUUGCCUCGUACACAUGAGGCCCUGGGUUCGAUUCCUCAGCACCA
This 66-nucleotide transfer RNA is filed under the name Dipodomys ordii (Ord's kangaroo rat). It matches the Rfam family "tRNA". From Rfam's summary of the family: Transfer RNA (tRNA) molecules are approximately 80 nucleotides in length. The record is from Rfam by way of RNAcentral. Lineage: Eukaryota; Metazoa; Chordata; Mammalia; Rodentia; Heteromyidae.